This is a long non-coding RNA of Mastomys coucha (southern multimammate mouse), 527 nucleotides long. RefSeq lists it as uncharacterized. The record is from RefSeq and is a predicted model, not a curated record. NCBI's taxonomy places the organism in Eukaryota, Metazoa, Chordata, Mammalia, Rodentia, Muridae. The transcript is spliced from 2 exons.
GCCUGAGGCCCAGCGUUUCUACCUCAGGCCUAGUCAGUGUUUCACCAAUCUUCGUUCAUCUGUCGCAUUGUCACAGUUUGAGUAUGAACUCCCUUUACAGGCUCAUGUGCCAGAGUUCUUGGCGCCCAACUGGUGAGACCAUUCUGGGAGGUUUGGGAAACUUCAGUACAUGCGGCUUAGUUAGAAGAAGUACGUCACAGGGUGUUCCGUCCCAAUGAGCAAGCUUCAAGAGACGGGGCCCUCGUUACCUGAACGGUUAGACUCCACUGGAAGUUCCAGCCGCCAGUUCCUGCAUCUUGCUGCUUCUCCAAGGAAGCUGCAGAUCAUCACCACAUGUUGGAGGGUGCUUGUCUGGAGCUCAUGACCUCCACCAUGAACACACAUCUCCUUCCCCUAACCCCACAUCUGCGGUAACUCUGAAGCUUGUCUUUUGUGAAACUUUCCAGACUUACCCCUUCAGGGUUCUUAGUUAUGAAAUUUAGUUUAGUUGAGUGGCAAUAGUUUCAUAAAGCCGUUUCUACCCUGGU